Molecule: long non-coding RNA, 220 nt
Filed under: Hordeum vulgare
Lineage: Eukaryota; Viridiplantae; Streptophyta; Magnoliopsida; Poales; Poaceae
Description: long non-coding RNA (HVUL_LNC010864)
Source: RNAcentral
AGAAAAUGGAAAUUCUAAAACUAAAACACCAUGACUUACUUGGCUACAUUCUUGCCGCAGCUUCUUCUGCCAAUCUGGUCCCAAACCUUCCUUGGCACUCCCUAAACUUCCUCACUUCAUCAAUGGCUGAAAGAGCACUCACUGGAUCUAGUAUCUUCACUAUUGCAUCUGUUAGUGAAGUGGCAUAAUCGGUGUGGUUGCAAAGGUUCAGCUUGUAAUG